RNAcentral lists this ribosomal RNA (433 nucleotides) under uncultured bacterium. Its description in RNAcentral is "partial 16S ribosomal RNA". It matches the Rfam family "Bacterial small subunit ribosomal RNA", at positions 29 to 507 of the family's 1533-position model. The record is from RNAcentral.
AACGAACGCUGGCGGCAUGCCUAACACAUGCAAGUCGAACGAGACCUCCGGGUCUAGUGGCGCACGGGUGCGUAACGCGUGGGAACCUGCCCUUAGGUUCGGAAUAACUCCCCGAAAGGGGUGCUAAUACCGGAUAAUGUCUUCGGACCAAAGAUUUAUCGCCUUUGGAUGGGCCCGCGUUGGAUUAGCUGGUUGGUAGGGUAAAAGCCUACCAAGGCGACGAUCCAUAGCUGGUCUGAGAGGAUGAUCAGCCACACUGGGACUGAGACACGGCCCAGACUCCUACGGGAGGCAGCAGUGGGGAAUAUUGGACGAUGGGCGAAAGCCUGAUCCAGCAAUGCCGGGUGAGUGAUGAAGGCGUUAGGGUAGUAAAGCUCUUUUACCCGGGAUGAUAAUGACGGUACCGGGAGAAUAAGCUCCGGCUAACUCCGUG